AACCACAUCCCUCAUUUUUAAUUUAUACUUAAAUAACCUGAUACUGCUUUUAGAUGAACUGGAUACAAGCCUAAGAAGAUGCCUGUCUGAAAAAGAGCCAAGUGAGAUGAAGAUGCCAAGGCACACGGAAGUUAAGUAUCCAAGUAUUUUUAAGAUCCAAUUCCUGCCACCCUUGAAAACACCAGCUUCAUGUGCUAUUGUUCCCCUGCCACAUGUAUCUUCAUUGUGGUGGAUACACCUUAAGAUAACUUUUAUUCACACAGAGAGACCUUCCUUCAGGACUUGAAGAAGCAAGUCAAGUUGUUACGAUGUGAAUGGAGAAGUCCACAUGGUAAAGAACCAGAGGCAGCUCCUAGGGUUUUGAGGGCCUUCAUCCUAUGACCAUAAGGAGUUAAAUUUUCCUAACAUCCACUUGAACUUAGAAGAGGAUCCCUAGCUUCAGAAAGGCACACAGUUCAGCUGACACAUUACAGCCUUGUGAAAUCCUAGGAGAACCCAGAUAAGCCAUGCCCUGAACU
Molecule: long non-coding RNA, 518 nt
Filed under: Homo sapiens (human)
Lineage: Eukaryota; Metazoa; Chordata; Mammalia; Primates; Hominidae
Description: HSALNT0300798
Source: RNAcentral